CCUACGGGAGACUGCAGUGGGGGAUAUUGCACAAUGGGGGAAACCCUGAUCCAGCGACGCCGCGUGAGUGAAGAAGUAUUUCGGUAUGUAAAGCUCUGUCAGCAGGGAAGAAAGCAAUGACGGUACCUGACCAAGAAGCCCCGGCUAACUACGUGCCAGCAGCCGCGGUAAUACGUAGGGGGCAAGCGUUAUCCGGAAUUACUGGGUGUAAAGGGAGCGUAGACGGUGAUGCAAGUCUGAAGUGAAAGGCGGGGGCUCAACCCCCGGACUGCUCUGGAAACUGUGUAACUUGAGUGCAGGAGAGGUAAGCGGAAUUCCUAGUGUAGCGGUGAAAUGCGUAGAUAUGAGGAGGAACACCAGUGGCGAAGGCGGCUUACUGGACUGUAACUGACGUUGAGGCUCGAAAGCGUGGGGAGCAAACAGGAUUAGAUACCCCAGUAGUC
RNAcentral lists this ribosomal RNA (443 nucleotides) under uncultured bacterium. RNAcentral describes it as "partial 16S ribosomal RNA". It matches the Rfam family "Bacterial small subunit ribosomal RNA", at positions 338 to 795 of the family's 1533-position model. The record is from RNAcentral.